AGAAAUUUAGGUUAAUAUAAAACCAAGAGCCUUCAAAGCCCUAAAAGGAAGUACCAAGCUCCCAAUUUCUG
RNAcentral lists this transfer RNA (71 nucleotides) under Varanus kingorum. RNAcentral's name for it is "tRNA-Trp". It matches the Rfam family "tRNA". From Rfam's summary of the family: Transfer RNA (tRNA) molecules are approximately 80 nucleotides in length. Their secondary structure includes four short double-helical elements and three loops (D, anti-codon, and T loops). The record is from RNAcentral. Lineage: Eukaryota; Metazoa; Chordata; Lepidosauria; Squamata; Varanidae.